This 70-nucleotide transfer RNA is filed under the name Paroedura bastardi. Its description in RNAcentral is "tRNA-Trp". Lineage: Eukaryota; Metazoa; Chordata; Lepidosauria; Squamata; Gekkonidae. The record is from RNAcentral.
AGGUACUUAAGUUAAAUAUAAACCAGAAGCCUUCAAAGCUCCAAACAGUGGGCCACACCACUAGCACCUG